ACAAAGCCUCGUCGAGUCUUCCAGUAAACCGCUACCACUACAUCAACUCAGCCCCGUUCAACUACACAAUCACCAAUUCAUCACCUGGUGAUGGCUGGGUUGAGUUUACUGGGGACAAUCACGAGGCUUGUGUCGGCCAUAAGAUCUGGGCCAAGAAAUAUUACCACACCAGUGGAA
This 177-nucleotide unclassified non-coding RNA is filed under the name Yellow head virus. The record is from RNAcentral. Lineage: Riboviria; Orthornavirae; Pisuviricota; Pisoniviricetes; Nidovirales; Roniviridae.